This 587-nucleotide ribosomal RNA is filed under the name uncultured bacterium. RNAcentral's name for it is "bacterial SSU rRNA". It matches the Rfam family "Bacterial small subunit ribosomal RNA", at positions 338 to 916 of the family's 1533-position model. The record is from RNAcentral.
CCUACGGGAGGCAGCAGUGGGGAAUUUUGGACAAUGGGGGCAACCCUGAUCCAGCCAUUCCGCGUGAGUGAAGAAGGCCUUCGGGUUGUAAAGCUCUUUCGCAAGGGAAGAAAACUUAUGAUCGAAUAAAUCAUGAGGUUGACGGUACCUUGAUAAGAAGCACCGGCUAACUACGUGCCAGCAGCCGCGGUAAUACGUAGGGUGCGAGCGUUAAUCGGAAUUACUGGGCGUAAAGCGUGCGCAGGCGGUUUUGUAAGUCGGAUGUGAAAUCCCCGGGCUCAACCUGGGAACUGCGUUCGAAACUGCAAGGCUAGAGUGUGUCAGAGGGGGGUAGAAUUCCACGUGUAGCAGUGAAAUGCGUAGAGAUGUGGAGGAAUACCAAUGGCGAAGGCAGCCCCCUGGGAUAACACUGACGCUCAUGCACGAAAGCGUGGGGAGCAAACAGGAUUAGAUACCCUGGUAGUCCACGCCCUAAACGAUGUCAACUAGUUGUUGGUAGAGUAAAAUCUAUGAGUAACGUAGCUAACGCGUGAAGUUGACCGCCUGGGGAGUACGGUCGCAAGAUUAAAACUUAAAUGAAUUGACGG